This 484-nucleotide ribosomal RNA is filed under the name uncultured bacterium. RNAcentral describes it as "partial 16S ribosomal RNA". It matches the Rfam family "Bacterial small subunit ribosomal RNA", at positions 30 to 507 of the family's 1533-position model. The record is from RNAcentral.
AUUGAGCGCUGGCGGCAGGCCUAACACAUGCAAGUCGAGCGGAUGAAGGGAGCUUGCUCCUGGAUUCAGCGGCGGACGGGUGAGUAAUGCCUAGGAAUCUGCCUGGUAGUGGGGGAUAACGUCCGGAAACGGGCGCUAAUACCGCAUACGUUCUGAUGGAGAACGUGGGGGAUCUUCGGACCUCACGCUAUCUGAUGAGCCUAGGUCGGAUUAGCUAGUUGGUGGGGUAAAGGCCUACCAAGGCGACGAUCCGUAACUGGUCUGAGAGGAUGAUCAGUCACACUGGAACUGAGACACGGUCCAGACUCCUACGGGAGGCAGCAGUGGGGAAUAUUGGACAAUGGGCGAAAGCCUGAUCCAGCCAUGCCGCGUGUGUGAAGAAGGUCUUCGGAUUGUAAAGCACUUUAAGUUGGGAGGAAGGGAAGUAAGUUAAUACCUUGCUGUUUUGACGUUACCAACAGAAUAAGCACCGGCUAACUUCGUG